AGGUUCAAAGAAGACAUUAAAACUUGUGGAAUUUGUGCCAAUCGAUUUGAAACAGAGCUCCUGUUACCCAAAGUUCCAAACAAACCAAGCAGAACUGAGGCUCCUGCACAGUAUUAUAUCACCAGCUAUGGGAAUGCUACUUUUGGAACCAGCACUGUCCAUGUGGAAAGACAGAGCAUCUUGGAUAAAUGAAAACAGCCACAAAGGAUAAAUCACUAGCACAACAUCAUUUCUAUCAACGGUAUUUUAUGAUCAUUUCAAAUAAAAAAAG
Molecule: long non-coding RNA, 271 nt
Filed under: Notechis scutatus (mainland tiger snake)
Lineage: Eukaryota; Metazoa; Chordata; Lepidosauria; Squamata; Elapidae
Description: lncRNA (ENSNSUG00000016418.1)
Source: RNAcentral